This 113-nucleotide ribosomal RNA is filed under the name Penicillium sp. NRRL 35186. RNAcentral describes it as "5.8S ribosomal RNA". It matches the Rfam family "5.8S ribosomal RNA", at positions 1 to 112 of the family's 154-position model. From Rfam's summary of the family: 5.8S ribosomal RNA (5.8S rRNA) is a component of the large subunit of the eukaryotic ribosome. It is transcribed by RNA polymerase I as part of the 45S precursor that also contains 18S and 28S rRNA. The record is from RNAcentral. Lineage: Eukaryota; Fungi; Ascomycota; Eurotiomycetes; Eurotiales; Aspergillaceae. RNAcentral also lists the same sequence under 2 other names.
AAACUUUCAACAAUGGAUCUCUUGGUUCCGGCAUCGAUGAAGAACGCAGCGAAAUGCGAUAAGUAAUGUGAAUUGCAGAAUUCCGUGAAUCAUCGAAUCUUUGAACGCACAUU